UUUCCGUAGGUGAGCCUGCGGAAGGAUCAUUAUUGUAUAACCGAGGUGCGAGGGCUGUCGCUGACCCGAAAGGUCGUGCACGCCCGAGUGCCCUCACACGCAUCCAUCUCACCCCUAUGUGCACCACCGCGUGGGUCCCCCUUUGGCUUGUUCGGAGGGGGGCUUACGUUUUCACACAAACUUUGUAUGCAGUGUAGAAUGUAUUUUUUGUUUUUGCGAUCACGCAAUCAAUACAACUUUCAACAACGGAUCUCUUGGCUCUC
RNAcentral lists this unclassified non-coding RNA (263 nucleotides) under plant metagenome. RNAcentral describes it as "partial contains small subunit ribosomal RNA, internal transcribed spacer 1, and 5.8S ribosomal RNA". The record is from RNAcentral.